RNAcentral lists this transfer RNA (66 nucleotides) under Ancema ctesia. Its description in RNAcentral is "tRNA-Val". It matches the Rfam family "tRNA". Rfam says of the family: Transfer RNA (tRNA) molecules are approximately 80 nucleotides in length. Their secondary structure includes four short double-helical elements and three loops (D, anti-codon, and T loops). The record is from RNAcentral. Lineage: Eukaryota; Metazoa; Arthropoda; Insecta; Lepidoptera; Lycaenidae.
UAGAUUAUAGCUUAAUAAAGUAUUUCAUUUACAUUGAAAAGAUAUUAAUUUAAUUAAUUGAUCUAA